UAAGGCACGCGGUGAAUGCCGA
This 22-nucleotide microRNA is filed under the name Eisenia fetida (common brandling worm). RNAcentral's name for it is "Efe-Mir-124-P14_3p (mature (guide))". Lineage: Eukaryota; Metazoa; Annelida; Clitellata; Crassiclitellata; Lumbricidae. The record is from RNAcentral.